This 1956-nucleotide ribosomal RNA is filed under the name scorpion gut metagenome. RNAcentral describes it as "bacterial LSU rRNA". It matches the Rfam family "Bacterial large subunit ribosomal RNA", at positions 3 to 2008 of the family's 2925-position model. The record is from RNAcentral.
UCAAGCGAAUAAGCGCACACGGUGGAUGCCUUGGCGGUCAGAGGCGAUGAAGGACGUGGCAGCCUGCGAAAAGUAUCGGGGAGCUGGCAACAAGCUUUGAUCCGGUAAUGUCCGAAUGGGGAAACCCACCCGCUUGCGGGUAUCCUGCAGUGAAUACAUAGCUGCUGGAAGCGAACCUGGUGAACUGAAAUAUCUAAGUAACCAGAGGAAAAGAAAUCAACCGAGAUUCCGUAAGUAGCGACGAGCGAACGCGGACUAGCCCUUAAGCUGAUUUGGUUCUAGGAAAACGCUCUGGAAAGAGUGGCCAUAGAAGGUGAUAGCCCUGUAUCUGAAAGGGCCAUUUCAGUGAAGACGAGUAGGGCGGGGCACGUGAAACCCUGUCUGAACAUGGGGGGACCAUCCUCCAAGGCUAAAUACUACUGACCGACCGAUAGUGAACCAGUACCGUGAGGGAAAGGCGAAAAGAACCCCGGAGAGGGGAGUGAAAUAGAACCUGAAACCGUGUGCGUACAAGCAGUAGGAGCUCCGCAAGGAGUGACUGCGUACCUUUUGUAUAAUGGGUCAGCGACUUACUGUUCGUGGCAAGCUUAACCGUAUAGGGGAGGCGAAGGGAAACCGAGUCUGAUAAGGGCGUAUAGUCGCGGGCAGUAGACCCGAAACCGGGUGAUCUAGUCAUGCCCAGGGUGAAGGUGCGGUAACACGCACUGGAGGCCCGAACCCACUCCCGUUGCAAAGGUAGGGGAUGAGGUGUGAUUAGGAGUGAAAAGCUAAUCGAACCCGGAGAUAGCUGGUUCUCCUCGAAAGCUAUUUAGGUAGCGCCUCAUAUGUAUCCUCUCGGGGGUAGAGCACUGUUAUGGCUAGGGGGUCAUCGCGACUUACCAAACCAUUGCAAACUCCGAAUACCGAGACGGACUGUAUGGGAGACACACGGCGGGUGCUAACGUCCGUCGUGAAAAGGGAAACAACCCAGACCCACAGCUAAGGUCCCAAAUUCACUGCUAAGUGGAAAACCAUGUGGAAAGGCACAGACAGCCAGGAGGUUGGCUUAGAAGCAGCCACCCUUUAAAGAAAGCGUAAUAGCUCACUGGUCGAGUCGGUCUGCGGGGAAGAUUUAACGGGGCUAAGCAGUGAACCGAAGCUUGGGGUGCAUACUUUGUAUGCGCGGUAGAGGAGCGUUCCGUAAGCCGUUGAAGGUGGAUUGAGAAGUCUGCUGGAGGUAUCGGAAGUGCGAAUGCUGACAUGAGUAACGAUAAUGCGGGUGAAAAACCCGCACGCCGAAAGCCCAAGGUUUCCUUGCGCAACGUUAAUCGGCGCAGGGUGAGUCGGCCCCUAAGGCGAGGACGAAAGUCGUAGUCGAUGGGAAGCAGGUUAAUAUUCCUGCACCUCGCGUAAGUGCGAUGGAGGGACGGAGAAGGUUAGGUGUACCAGGCGUUGGUUGUCCUGGGGAAAGGCGGUAGGUUUGGAUCUUUGGCAAAUCCGGGAUCCUUUAAGACCGAGCACCGAGACGAGCCUUUAAGGCGAAGUCACUGAUACCACGCUUCCAGGAAAAGCUCCUAAGCUUCAGCUUACGCAGACCGUACCGUAAACCGACACAGGUGGGUAGGAUGAGAAUUCUCAGGCGCUUGAGAGAACUCGGGUGAAGGAACUAGGCAACAUGGCACCGUAACUUCGGGAGAAGGUGCACCCUUUUUGGUGGCUCGUGCGAGCUAUAGCUGAAGAGGGUCGCAGUAACCAGGCCGCUGCGACUGUUUAUCAAAAACACAGCACUCUGCAAACACGAAAGUGGACGUAUAGGGUGUGACGCCUGCCCGGUGCUGGAAGGUUAAUUGAUGGGGUCAGCCGCAAGGCGAAGCUCUUGAUCGAAGCCCCAGUAAACGGCGGCCGUAACUAUAACGGUCCUAAGGUAGCGAAAUUCCUUGUCGGGUAAGUUCCGACCUGCACGAAUGGCGUAACGAC